Stegostoma tigrinum is the source of this 104-nucleotide small nuclear RNA. The record is from RefSeq and is a predicted model, not a curated record. NCBI's taxonomy places the organism in Eukaryota, Metazoa, Chordata, Chondrichthyes, Orectolobiformes, Stegostomatidae.
GUGCUCGCUUCGGCAGCACAUACAAUAAAAUAGUAAUGAUGCAGAGAUUAGCAUGGCCCCUGCACAAGGGUGAUGCACAAAUUCGUGAAGCGUUCUGGGUGGCA